RNAcentral lists this long non-coding RNA (331 nucleotides) under Homo sapiens (human). Its description in RNAcentral is "long non-coding RNA NONHSAT223870". The record is from RNAcentral. Lineage: Eukaryota; Metazoa; Chordata; Mammalia; Primates; Hominidae.
AAAUCUUAUAAAAUGUGAGUGUUUUGCCAUGAUCAGAUGCCAUGAGGACAAUGAAUCUGAGAGGCACGGGGAAGGCUGGCAGAGCAGCUUGGACAGAGGCGCUCUUGGGGUUGGGGAGGAGAAAUGAGGGCUGAGAUGGUGGUAGUGAAAAUGACAAGGGAAAGGGAACCAUGUAUAAGGAUAAGCGGAGAAGGCUAGCAGAGGGAGGGCUUGGCUGCAUGUGAAUAUCCUGAGGGCUUGAGGCUCCCUUUCGGGUGUGCCUGCUGCUGCCCUCUGCCCACUAUCCUUCCAAAGUCUGGGGGAUGCUGCGGUUUUCUUUCACUCUGCCUGU